CCCGUCACAUCAUGGGAGUCGCUUGUAGCCGAAGUCGGCGCGCUAACCGCAAGGAGGCAGCCGCCUACGCUAUGAGCGGUAACUGGGAUG
RNAcentral lists this ribosomal RNA (90 nucleotides) under uncultured bacterium. RNAcentral describes it as "partial 16S ribosomal RNA". It matches the Rfam family "Bacterial small subunit ribosomal RNA", at positions 1393 to 1482 of the family's 1533-position model. The record is from RNAcentral.